Molecule: long non-coding RNA, 454 nt
Filed under: Drosophila guanche
Lineage: Eukaryota; Metazoa; Arthropoda; Insecta; Diptera; Drosophilidae
Source: RNAcentral
UGGACACCUGACUAUCUUAAGGCUUGGUCGUGUGAUUAGACAGAGUGUACCUAAAUGCGCAGAGGAAGCAGGAAGUGGGGGAGCAGCAGACAAACCAAUAACAAACAUAACAAAACGAGCGUGCAAAAUUCGUUUAAGUUGUACAGAGAGCUCGAAUGCAUGAGAAGCUGGUGGAGAGGAGUGGGCAGGAGUAGCGGCAACGGCAUAGGGCAAAGCCAGUGGCUGAAUCAGAGGCUGGUCUGGUGCAUUGGUGAUGACACAGCAGCAGAGCAGUGUUUGUUGGUGGUUGGACAGGGAGGCACAAACAUAUUCAUAGUACUCCUCAGACACAUACACACAGACACAUUCAAAAAAUUAUACAAAGCAGGGACACGCGGCGGCUCUUGGCUUAAGCAACAUUUGAUUGUCGGGCGAAAACCAGUAUAAUUGCACAAACACACACACACACACAAAG